UUCUUUUCUUUUUCUUUUCCCAUUAAACCUCUGCUCCUAAACUCCUCAUAUGUGUCUGUGUCCUAAAUUUUCUUGGUGCAAGAGGAUGAACCCCAGGUUCAGGGAAUGCAUGUGGAGGUUUGGUACAUGGCGAUAUUGCUUGUUGCUGAGGCUCAGUGUAAGAAUGAUCCUGUCACCAAGGUUUGACCUUGGAAGUCCUCAUGGAGAAAAUUGCAUCUGAGCUGGACCAUGAAAAAUGAGUAGGAUUUCAACAGAUAACAAUGGAAGAGAGAAAGCAAAUCAACCACCUUUCUUCGCUCAUCUGACAAAGUGCCUGAUUCCAGCCAGAGACUAUGUAAGCCCUUGGAGUGAUAUCAGUCUCUAUUGACUGAAUGCUAACCCAUGGAAUUAGAUAUCCAUGUGAGUCUAUUCUACACAUCCAUAAGAAAACCUUAUACCGAGGCUUACUGGUUUUAAAAGAGGAGAUGUCAAACUAAAGAAUGGAGAAGAAUUUUCAAGGAGUGGGAAAAUGCCACUACCCUGCUCAGAACCUUCACUGCAACCCAGACUGUGCCUGUAUCUUAGGAGUGCAGAUGAUUGAGAUGGUCCAAGGGUAUCCGGAAGAGAGAGGAGAGGACCCAACAGCAUGGAUGGUGCAUGCUGAGCACUUCUCAAAGGAAAACCCAUGGCAGAGGAUUCGGUCUGAACCUCUUACUGUAAUCAUACAGCAUAGCUGGCAGGGGCUUGCCUUAUUUACAUGCCACAUGGAGCUGCAGUGGCACCAUGUUAUUGUGUGUUUUGGGAGAGGUGGAUGUGAGUGUGGGUGUGGGUGCACAUGCAUGGAUGUAUCGGACUGUGAGAAGGUAUGAGCUGAGGCCUAACUGUUCACAGCAGAGGCAAAGUCCUAUCAUGAACAAAAAAAGUGAGAUGGGUUGGAGGGACCCUACUUCAGGCCAUAGGUAAGCAGGGCUGCCAACAGAAGGGAAUGGAAGUGGGUGAGCAUGCAGAGUUCUUUCCGCUUAGUCAAAGAAGGCAGCAGCACUAACAGCCCAACCAGUGACAAGUGCAAAUUAGAAAAAGGACACUUCCACUGGGCAUUUUACUCCCAUCAGCUAAACAUUUCCCAUUGUAAGUGUUAGUCUGUUUAGGCUGUUAUAACAAAAAUGCCAUAAAUUGGGUGACUUACAAACUACAGAAAUUUGUUUCUCACAGUUCUGAAGGCUGAGAAUUUCAAGAACAAGGUGCCAUUAGAAAGUGGGAAUUGGGAUUAGGCACUAAUCCUCUUCAAAGGCCUCACCUCCUAAUACUAUCAUUUUGGGGUUAUUAUUUCAACAUAUGAAUUCUGUGGCCCACACACAUUCAGACCACAGCAGUAAGUACACAAGUCUCUGACAAUUGUGAAGGGCUGUCACUCCCAGGAACUAUGCAGUGCACAAUUUGUGAGACCCUAAGUGGCAGCGUGGAGUGGUAAUUGCUGCUGCUGCUGUUCUAUGGACCUGGCUGCUGGGGCAGGCCCCAAUGUGACAGAGUCAAUAUGUCAAGAAGAACUAGACAUCUGUUCCCAUCCUUCAGCAGCAGUGGGUCAUAAAUGGGUUAACUGUGCUGGCCAGGACCUUCACGGGCACAAAUCAGCCCUGAGCACUACUUGUCAGGCCCAACCACAUGAACAUUUGCAGGAAUAAUGAAGGCUCAGGAAUUAAUGACCAUAGAAGAUGUGUGGGCUCUAUUGAAUGCCUAUCUUAGAAAAAAAGGAGAGUUGGAAAACUAAUAAGCCAAGCAUUUGUUUCAAGAACUUAGUAAAAGAAAUGGCCAAAUAAACCCAAGAUAAGAUGAGAUAGGAAAUAAUAAAGAAGAAACUAACCCCAACAAGAAAAGUGAAUUUAUGGGUCAACCAAGUGUCCCGUAGAAAGACUUGUUUCUUCCUAUCUCUCUGUCUCUCUCAAGCACACAUGCUCAAUCUGAAAUAAACAUACACACUCACAUUCUGGAAACCUGUGUCCCUGCUUAUGGGAGGAAAUUUGCAAUCUCUGAUCUACUUCCUGAGGUUUAAAUGUAGAAAAAUAGAAAUGUCCAUAAAUGUGAAUGAAAUUUCAGAGGCCAACUGCUUAAAUUGAUAUCUGUUCAUUCCAGCAGACGAAGCCUCAUCAUGGUUUUUGAGCUGCUGUGCACAGAAAGAAGACGGCACAUCAUUUGCCAGGCCCAGGCCGGCCAGCACAGACACAUGCCUCUGCAGCACUGACAUUUGCAUAACUCUGUUUUGGAUUCAACUUAGGGUUCUCAUUUUGGGGGGUUUGAAAUAUAAUUAAGAUCUUAAAUCAGCAUACUCAGAUACUUUUAAAGCUCAAGAAAGUUUCUCCUUUUAUAUAAUUGACUAUGGCUUAUAUCAUCAUUUUCUAUUGGAGCUCCAUUCUCUAUCCUCCGUGUCUAUCAACUUCUCCUUCAAUACUUUUAUUUUUUGCUUCCUUUCAAUCUUCCUCCCUUCUUCCAUUCCUAACUUUCUCCCUCUUCUUCUCUCUCUCUCUUUUGCAACUUAAAAAAAAUUAUUGUCUCACAGAUUUUGUGAAUUUGGCAUUUGAGAUGACCUUAGCUAGUUAUUUCUACCUCACAAGGUUGGCCAGGGCUGCAGCCAUCUGAAGGUUUAGCCACAGCUAGAGGAUUCACUUCCAAAAUGACUAUUGGCAAAAGGCCUCAGUUCCUGGCUGUCGUUGGCAGAAGACCUCGGUUCCUCACCACGUGGACUUCAUAGGGACGCUUGAGUGCCCUUGGAUGCAGUAACUGGCUUUUCUCAGAGCAAAUAAUCCAAGAGAAACAGUAAGUAGGAAACAAAAAUGCCUUUCAUGACCUAGUCACAGAAGUCACAACCCAUCUCUUCUGUUAUAUUUUCUUUAUUAGAAGUGGGUCAGUAAGUCCAGCCCAUACUCAAAGGAAGAGAAAUUAAACCUAACUUCUUGAACCAAGAAGUAUCAGAGGAUUUGUGGAUAUAUUUUGAAACCACUACCAUGAGUUACCAAUUUGUUUUCUCUUUUUCAUUCCUAUGGGUGAAAAAAUGUACAAUAUGUAUCAUGGUUUUUAGGUGCAUUUCUUUAUUAUGUGUGAGGCAAUAUUUUUUAAAAAUAACUAUUUGUAUGUAUGUAAACUUUCUGUUCAUGAUCUUUAUUGAUUUUUCUAUUGGGGUUUUGGUAUUUAUGAAUAUGCAUUGCAAUGUUUUUAGAUAGACUUUAUUUUUUAGAACAGUUUUAGAUUAAUGGAAAAUUUGAGAAGAUAAUACAGAGAAUUCUUAUAUACUCCACCCACUAAGAUCCCCUUUUAUGCACACUUACAUUAGUAUGGUACAUUUACUGUAAUCAAUGAGCCAAUAUUGAUACAUUAUUAUUAACUAACGUUUAUUCAGAUUUCCUUUGUUUUCUCUUAAUGCCAUUUUCUAUUCCAGAAUUCCAUCCAGGAGACCACA
This 3430-nucleotide long non-coding RNA is filed under the name Homo sapiens (human). RNAcentral describes it as "HSALNT0304817". The record is from RNAcentral. Lineage: Eukaryota; Metazoa; Chordata; Mammalia; Primates; Hominidae.